AUGAACGCUGGCGGCGUGCUUAACACAUGCAAGUCGAACGAAGCACCUCUAAUCGAAGAUUGAGAAAGCUUGCUUUGAUUGAUUCACCUUGAGGUGACUGAGUGGCGGACGGGUGAGUAACGCGUGGGUAACCUACCCUAUACAGGGGGAUAACAGUUGGAAACGACUGCUAAUACCGCAUAAGCGCACAGGACCGCAUGGUCUAGUGUGAAAAACUCCGGUGGUAUAGGAUGGACCCGCGUCUGAUUAGCUAGUUGGUGAGGUAACGGCUCACCAAGGCGACGAUCAGUAGCCGACCUGAGAGGGUGACCGGCCACAUUGGGACUGAGACACGGCCCAAACUCCUACGGGAGGCAGCAGUGGGGAAUAUUGCACAAUGGGCGAAAGCCUGAUGCAGCGACGCCGCGUGAACGAAGAAGUAUUUCGGUAUGUAAAGUUCUAUCAGCAGGGAAGAAAAAUGACGGUACCUGACUAAGAAGCUCCGGCUAAAUACGUGCCAGCAGCUGC
This 507-nucleotide ribosomal RNA is filed under the name uncultured bacterium. RNAcentral's name for it is "bacterial SSU rRNA". It matches the Rfam family "Bacterial small subunit ribosomal RNA", at positions 29 to 518 of the family's 1533-position model. The record is from RNAcentral.